GAUGAACGCUGGCGGCGUGCCUAAUACACGCAAGUCGAGCGAACAGACGAGGAGCUUGCUCCUCUGACGUUAGCGGCGGACGGGUGAGUAGCACGUGGAUAACCUACCUAUAAGACUGGGAUAACUUCGGGAAACCGGAGCUAAUACCGGAUAAUAUAUUGAACCGCAUGGUUCAAUAGUGAAAGACGGUUUUGCUGUCACUUAUAGAUGGAUCCGCGCCGCAUUAGCUAGUUGGUAAGGUAACGGCUUACCAAGGCAACGAUGCGUAGCCGACCUGAGAGGGUGAUCGGCCACACUGGAACUGAGACACGGUCCAGACUCCUACGGGAGGCAGCAGUAGGGAAUCUUCCGCAAUGGGCGAAAGCCUGACGGAGCAACGCCGCGUGAGUGAUGAAGGUCUUCGGAUCGUAAAACUCUGUUAUUAGGGAAGAACAAAUGUGUAAGUAACUAUGCACGUCUUGACGGUACCUAAUCAGAAAGCCACGGCUAACUACGUG
RNAcentral lists this ribosomal RNA (497 nucleotides) under uncultured bacterium. RNAcentral describes it as "partial 16S ribosomal RNA". It matches the Rfam family "Bacterial small subunit ribosomal RNA", at positions 28 to 507 of the family's 1533-position model. The record is from RNAcentral.